Molecule: ribosomal RNA, 460 nt
Filed under: uncultured bacterium
Lineage: Bacteria
Description: partial 16S ribosomal RNA
Rfam family: Bacterial small subunit ribosomal RNA
Source: RNAcentral
CCUACGGGAGGCAGCAGUGAGGAAUAUUGGUCAAUGGACGAGAGUCUGAACCAGCCAAGUAGCGUGAAGGAUGACUGCCCUAUGGGUUGUAAACUUCUUUUAUAUGGGAAUAAAACGUUCCACGUGUGGGAUUUUGUAUGUACCAUAUGAAUAAGGAUCGGCUAACUCCGUGCCAGCAGCCGCGGUAAUACGGAGGAUCCGAGCGUUAUCCGGAUUUAUUGGGUUUAAAGGGAGCGUAGGUGGCUUGUUAAGUCAGUUGUGAAAGUGUGCGGCUCAACCGUAAAAUUGCAGUUGAAACUGGCAGUCUUGAGUACAGUAGAGGUGGGCGGAAUUCGUGGUGUAGCGGUGAAAUGCUUAGAUAUCACGAAGAACUCCGAUUGCGAAGGCAGUUCACUGGACUGCAACUGACACUGAGGCUCGAAAGUGUGGGUAUCAAACAGGAUUAGAUACCCCUGUAGUC